This 445-nucleotide ribosomal RNA is filed under the name uncultured bacterium. RNAcentral describes it as "partial 16S ribosomal RNA". It matches the Rfam family "Bacterial small subunit ribosomal RNA", at positions 354 to 796 of the family's 1533-position model. The record is from RNAcentral.
GUGGGGAAUAUUGGUCAAUGGGCGGAAGCCUGAACCAGCCAUGCCGCGUGCAGGACGACGGCCCUACGGGUUGUAAACUGCUUUUGCCCGGGAAUAACCCCCCGCUCUUGAGCGGGGCUGAACGUACCGGGAGAAUAAGGAUCGGCUAACUCCGUGCCAGCAGCCGCGGUAAUACGGAGGAUCCGAGCGUUAUCCGGAUUUAUUGGGCUUAAAGGGUGCGUAGGCGGCCUGUUAAGUCAGGGGUGAAAUACGGCAGCUCAACUGUCGCAGUGCCCUUGAUACUGACGGGCUUGAAUACCGGUGAAGGCGGCGGAAUGAGACAAGUAGCGGUGAAAUGCAUAGAUAUGUCUCAGAACCCCGAUUGCGAAGGCAGCUGCCUAACCGGCGAUUGACGCUGAUGCACGAAAGCGUGGGGAUCGAACAGGAUUAGAAACCCUGGUAGUCC